UCACGUCUUACGACGGCAGUUUCACUAGAGUUCCCAGCGUUACCUGAUGGCGACUAGUGAUGGGGGUUGCGCUCGUUGCGGGACUUAACCCAACACCUCACGGCACGAGCUGACGACAGCCAUGCAGCACCUGUGCAUGGAUCCCGAAGGAGGCUCCUCGUUUCUGAGGAGUUUCCCAUGCAUGUCAAGCCUAGGUAAGGUUCUUCGCGUUGCGUCGAAUUAAACCACAUGCUCCACCGCUUGUGCGGGUCCCCGUCGAUUCCUUUGAGUUUCAGCCUUGCGGCCGUACUCCCCAGGCGGAGUGCUUAAUGCGUUAGCUGCAGCACUAAGGGGCGGAAACCCCCUAACACUUAGCACUCAUCGUUUACGGCGUGGACUAC
RNAcentral lists this unclassified non-coding RNA (380 nucleotides) under uncultured bacterium. Its description in RNAcentral is "contains 16S-23S intergenic spacer region". The record is from RNAcentral.